GCUUGGAUGGCUCAGCUGGUUAGAGCGCAGGUCUCAUACUGAUGUAUGACCGUCGUUGGCGGGCAAUCCUGAGGUCGUGAGUUCGAUCCUCACUCCGAGCA
This 101-nucleotide transfer RNA is filed under the name Grifola frondosa (maitake). It matches the Rfam family "tRNA". Rfam says of the family: Transfer RNA (tRNA) molecules are approximately 80 nucleotides in length. Their secondary structure includes four short double-helical elements and three loops (D, anti-codon, and T loops). Further hydrogen bonds mediate the characteristic L-shaped molecular structure. tRNAs have two regions of fundamental functional importance: the anti-codon, which is responsible for specific mRNA codon recognition, and the 3' end, to which the tRNAs corresponding amino acid is attached (by aminoacyl-tRNA synthetases). tRNAs cope with the degeneracy of the genetic code in two manners: having more than one tRNA (with a specific anti-codon) for a particular amino acid; and 'wobble' base-pairing, i.e. permitting non-standard base-pairing at the 3rd anti-codon position. The record is from Rfam by way of RNAcentral. Lineage: Eukaryota; Fungi; Basidiomycota; Agaricomycetes; Polyporales; Grifolaceae.